This 227-nucleotide long non-coding RNA is filed under the name Lathyrus oleraceus (garden pea). Its description in RNAcentral is "Pisum sativum (pea) long non-coding RNA (PSAT_LNC004016)". Lineage: Eukaryota; Viridiplantae; Streptophyta; Magnoliopsida; Fabales; Fabaceae. The record is from RNAcentral.
AAAUUCACAUGUGGAGCGCGUUUAUCUCACUGUUCCCCCUUUUUUCAUUCUUUUAUCUAUAUAAUAAAAUAAUUUUUAUAAAUAUUAAAUAAUAAUAAAUAUUGUUUUAAUACAAACUAAUAAUAAUAAUAAUAAUAAUAACAAUAAUAAUAAUAAUAAUGUUAGUAUAUGAAUUAAAAAAAUAAAAAAUAAAAAAUCAUUAUUCAUCUCCUUCGUAUAGUACUUCA